GCGCUCGUAGCUCAGUUGGACAGAGCGUUGGCCUCCGGAGCCAAAGGUCGCAGGUUCAAAUCCUGUCGAGCGCGCCA
Molecule: transfer RNA, 77 nt
Filed under: Pasteurella multocida
Lineage: Bacteria; Pseudomonadati; Pseudomonadota; Gammaproteobacteria; Pasteurellales; Pasteurellaceae
Also listed under: 1 other name
Description: tRNA-Arg
Rfam family: tRNA
About the family: Transfer RNA (tRNA) molecules are approximately 80 nucleotides in length. Their secondary structure includes four short double-helical elements and three loops (D, anti-codon, and T loops).
Source: RNAcentral